Molecule: ribosomal RNA, 308 nt
Filed under: uncultured Enterobacteriaceae bacterium
Lineage: Bacteria; Pseudomonadati; Pseudomonadota; Gammaproteobacteria; Enterobacterales; Enterobacteriaceae
Description: bacterial SSU rRNA
Rfam family: Bacterial small subunit ribosomal RNA
Source: RNAcentral
UGGGGAAUAUUGCACAAUGGGCGCAAGCCUGAUGCAGCCAUGCCGCGUGUAUGAAGAAGGCCUUCGGGUUGUAAAGUACUUUCAGCGAGGAGGAAGGCGCUGUAGUUAAUAACUGCAGCGAUUGACGUUACUCGCAGAAGAAGCACCGGCUAACUCCGUGCCAGCAGCCGCGGUAAUACGGAGGGUGCAAGCGUUAAUCGGAAUUACUGGGCGUAAAGCGCACGCAGGCGGUCUGUCAAGUCGGAUGUGAAAUCCCCGGGCUCAACCUGGGAACUGCAUCCGAAACUGGCAGGCUAGAGUCUUGUAGA